Juglans microcarpa x Juglans regia is the source of this 365-nucleotide long non-coding RNA. RefSeq lists it as uncharacterized. The record is from RefSeq and is a predicted model, not a curated record. NCBI's taxonomy places the organism in Eukaryota, Viridiplantae, Streptophyta, Magnoliopsida, Fagales, Juglandaceae. The transcript is spliced from 3 exons.
UUCUUCGCAGGAUUCAGUCUGAGAGCAGCAAUUGCAGUUGGUUAAGGAGAAAAUGGAACAGCAGCCCGUGGUAAUUACUGGAGCAGAGGUUGAUGAGUAUCGCUUGUCUAGAUGACAUUGAUUCAAGUUUGGUUUUUAUGUAUACACCUGUAACAGAAGAAGGUGCCAAAGGAGAACCUCAAUAUAAAUACACAGAUUUUGUAAAAGCAGAUUUCAGAGUGCUCUUGCUAACCAGAUAUACUCUUGGAUUGGUGUUCUAAAGUUGCUCAAUUGCUGCCUCUUCAUGGACCAAUGCAAAUUCCAGGACUUGCUUGGCAACUUGUUUGUGUUUUUUCAGUAAAUUUGUAAGAAGCCCAGAAAAGAUG